Molecule: long non-coding RNA, 382 nt
Organism: Caretta caretta (loggerhead turtle)
Lineage: Eukaryota; Metazoa; Chordata; Testudines; Cheloniidae
Source: RefSeq, a predicted model, not a curated record
UGUCGCCACCCCCUGCGCACCUGUGGUUGCAUGUUUUCACUAUGGCGUGUCAAGGGGACAUUUCAGAACAGCGGGUGAUCUCGCGUGGCAAGGACUUGCCACAAGGUGUUUCACAGUGAUCAUCAGUACCGGUUGAUUGUGCUACAGACCGAGUCAUUGCCAUCUGAAAGGUGCUUGGCCAAACAAGUGAGUGGUGCCCUUCCCCCACCAACUGAACAGCCCUGGAACUAUGGGAGAAAAUCAGAUCGAGAUCUGGCUCCGACCUACAUGGCACCUCUCUACAGCGGAUGUGUCUAACUCAUAAAGCCACAACCAACCUUGGCUUUAAACAGAACCCUCCAGCAGCGAAGCCAAGGACUGAACUAACCUGGAGGCUACCCUU